GACGAACGCUGGCGGCGUGCCUAACACAUGCAAGUCGAGCGGAGUCAGUAAGAGGAAGUUUUCGGAUGGAAUCUUAUUGAUUUAGCGGCGGACGGGUGAGUAACGCGUGAGCGACCAACCUUGCACAGGGGGAUAACGGACCGAAAGGUUCACUAAUACCGCAUGAGACCACGGUGUGGCAUGACACAGGGGUCAAAGGAGUAAUCCGUUGCAAGACGGGCUCGCGUCCGAUGAGUUAGUUGGAGGGGUAACGGCCCACCAAGCCUAUGAUCGGUAGCCGACCUGAGAGGGUGAUCGGCCACAUUGGAACUGAGAUACGGUCCAAACUCCUACGGGAGGCAGCAGUGGGGAAUAUUGGGCAAUGGGGGAAACCCUGACCCAGCAACGCCGCGUGAAGGAAGAAGGUUUUCGGAUUGUAAACUUCUGUCCUUGGUGAAGAGAAGAAGACGGUAGCCAAGGAGGAAGCCCCGGCUAANUANGUGCCAGCCGCCGCCGUAA
This 498-nucleotide ribosomal RNA is filed under the name uncultured bacterium. RNAcentral's name for it is "partial 16S ribosomal RNA". It matches the Rfam family "Bacterial small subunit ribosomal RNA", at positions 28 to 523 of the family's 1533-position model. The record is from RNAcentral.